UGGGGAAUAUUGCACAAUGGGCGCAAGCCUGAUGCAGCCAUGCCGCGUGUGUGAAGAAGGCCUUCGGGUUGUAAAGCACUUUCAGCGGGGAGGAAGGCGGUGAGGUUAAUAACCUCAUCGAUUGACGUUACCCGCAGAAGAAGCACCGGCUAACUCCGUGCCAGCAGCCGCGGUAAUACGGAGGGUGCAAGCGUUAAUCGGAAUUACUGGGCGUAAAGCGCACGCAGGCGGUCUGUCAAGUCGGAUGUGAAAUCCCCGGGCUCAACCUGGGAACUGCAUUCGAAACUGGCAGGCUAGAGUCUUGUAGAGGGGGGUAGAAUUCCAGGUGUAGCGGUGACAUGCGUAGAGAUCUGGAGGAAUACCGGUGGCGAAGGCGGCCCCCUGGACAAAGACUGACGCUCAGGUGCGAAAGCGUGGGGAGCAAACAGG
RNAcentral lists this ribosomal RNA (429 nucleotides) under Chloroflexota bacterium. RNAcentral's name for it is "Chloroflexi bacterium partial 16S ribosomal RNA". It matches the Rfam family "Bacterial small subunit ribosomal RNA", at positions 355 to 776 of the family's 1533-position model. The record is from RNAcentral. Lineage: Bacteria; Bacillati; Chloroflexota.